This 253-nucleotide ribosomal RNA is filed under the name uncultured bacterium. RNAcentral describes it as "partial 16S ribosomal RNA". It matches the Rfam family "Bacterial small subunit ribosomal RNA", at positions 524 to 776 of the family's 1533-position model. The record is from RNAcentral.
UACGAAGGGUGCAAGCGUUACUCGGAAUUACUGGGCGUAAAGGGUGCGUAGGUGGUUUGUUAAGUCUGCUGUGAAAUCCCCGGGCUCAACCUGGGAAUGGCAGUGGAUACUGGCAAGCUGGAGUGCGGUAGAGGGUAGUGGAACUCCCGGUGUAGCAGUGAAAUGCGUAGAGAUCGGGAAGAACACCAGUGGCGAAGGCGGCUACCUGGACCAGCACUGACACUGAGGCACGAAAGCGUGGGGAGCAAACAGG